UGCGAGUGNNAGCGGCAACAGCUCAAAUUUGAAAUCUGGCCCCUCUGGGGUCCGAGUUGUAAUUUGCAGAGAGUGCUUCGGGUGAGACCGCGGUCUAAGUCCAUUGGAACACGGCGUCAUAGAGGGUGAGAAUCCCGUAUGUGAUCGUGGCUCGAGCCCGUGUGAAGCCUCUUCGACGAGUCGAGUUGUUUGGGAAUGCAGCUCAAAAUGGGUGGUAAAUUUCAUCUAAAGCUAAAUACUGGCUGGAGACCGAUAGCGCACAAGUAGAGUGAUCGAAAGAUGAAAAGCACUUUGGAAAGAGAGUCAAAAAGUACGUGAAAUUGUUGAAAGGGAAGCGCUUGCAACCAGACCUGCCCGUAGGCGAUCAGCCGCUGUUCUCAGCGGUGCACUCGCUCUGCGAUCAGGCCAGCAUCGGUUUUGGCGGUCGGAUAAAGGCCUUGGGAAUGUAGCUUCCCUUCGGGGGAGUCUUAUAGCCCUCGGUGCAAUGCGGCCAGCCGAGACCGAGGACCGCGCUCGGCUAGAUGC
This 525-nucleotide ribosomal RNA is filed under the name Myelochroa metarevoluta. RNAcentral describes it as "eukaryotic LSU rRNA". It matches the Rfam family "Eukaryotic large subunit ribosomal RNA", at positions 88 to 626 of the family's 3401-position model. Lineage: Eukaryota; Fungi; Ascomycota; Lecanoromycetes; Lecanorales; Parmeliaceae. The record is from RNAcentral.